UACGUAGGGGGCAAGCGUUGUCCGGAAUCAUUGGGCGUAAAGCGCGUGUAGGCGGUCCGGUAAGUCCGCUGUGAAAGUCGGGGGCUCAACCCUCGGAUGCCGGUGGAUACUGUCGGGCUUGAGUACGGAAGAGGCGAGUGGAAUUCCUGGUGUAGCGGUGAAAUGCGCAGAUAUCAGGAGGAACACCAAUUGCGGAGGCAGCUCGCUGGGACGUCACUGACGCUGAGACGCGAAAGCGUGGGGAGCAAACAGG
RNAcentral lists this ribosomal RNA (253 nucleotides) under uncultured bacterium. RNAcentral's name for it is "partial 16S ribosomal RNA". It matches the Rfam family "Bacterial small subunit ribosomal RNA", at positions 524 to 776 of the family's 1533-position model. The record is from RNAcentral.